This 497-nucleotide ribosomal RNA is filed under the name uncultured bacterium. Its description in RNAcentral is "partial 16S ribosomal RNA". It matches the Rfam family "Bacterial small subunit ribosomal RNA", at positions 28 to 507 of the family's 1533-position model. The record is from RNAcentral.
GAUGAACGCUGGCGGCGUGCCUAAUACAUGCAAGUCGAGCGAACGGACGAGAAGCUUGCUUCUCUGCUGUUAGCGGCGGACGGGUGAGUAACACGUGGAUAACCUACCUCUAAGACUUGGAUAACUUCGUGAAACCGGAGCUACUACCGGAUAAUAUUUUGAACCGCAUGGUUCAAAAGUGAAAGACGGUCUUGCUGUCACUUAUAGAUGGAUCCGCGCUGCAUUAGCUAGUUGGUAAGGUAACGGCUUACCAAGGCAACGAUGCAUAGCCGACCUGAGAGGAUGAUCGGCCACACUGGAACUGAGACACGGUCCAGACUCCUACGGGAGGCAGCAGUAGGGAAUCUUCCGCAAUGGGCGAAAGCCUGACGGAGCAACGCCGCGUGAGUGAUGAAGGUCUUCGGAUCGUAAAACUCUGUUAUUAGGGAAGAACAUAUGUGUAAGUAACUGUGCACAUCUUGACGGUACCUAAUCAGAAAGCCACGGCUAACUACGUG